GGAUUCCCCUAGUAACUGCGAGUGAAGCGGGAAAAGCUCAAAUUUAAAAUCUGGCAGUCUUUGAUUGUCCGAGUUGUAAACUAGAGAAGUGUUAUCCGCGCUGGACCGUGUAAAAGUCUCCUGGAAUGGAGCAUCAUAGAGGGUGAGAAUCCCGUCUUUGACAUGGACUACCAGUGCUUUGUGAUGCGCUCUCAAAGAGUCGAGUUGUUUGGGAAUGCAGCUCAAAAUGGGUGGUAAAUUCCAUCUAAAGCUAAAUAUUGGCGAGAGACCGAUAGCGAACAAGUACCGUGAGGGAAAGAUGAAAAGAACUUUGGAAAGAGAGUUAAACAGUACGUGAAAUUGCUGAAAGGGAAACGCUUGAAGUCAGUCGCGUCGGCCAGGAAUCAACCUUGCUUUUGCUGGGCGUACUUUCUGGUUGACGGGUCAGCAUCAAUUUUGACUGCUGGAAAAAGUUCAAGGGAAUGUGGCAUCUUCGGAUGUGUUAUAGCCCUUGUUCGCAUACAGCAGUUGGGAUUGAGGUACUCAGCACGCCGCAAGGCCGGGUUUCGACCACGUUCGUGCUUAGGAUGCUGGCAUAAUGGCUUUAAUCGACCCGUCUUGAAA
This 603-nucleotide ribosomal RNA is filed under the name Bolbitius elegans. RNAcentral describes it as "partial large subunit ribosomal RNA". It matches the Rfam family "Eukaryotic large subunit ribosomal RNA", at positions 72 to 659 of the family's 3401-position model. Lineage: Eukaryota; Fungi; Basidiomycota; Agaricomycetes; Agaricales; Bolbitiaceae. The record is from RNAcentral.